UUAUUCGUACGCAAGGAGAGGGUCAGAAAUAUAGUACAGUACAAAAGAGAAGUGCACUAGUUCUUCGGAGAGAGUCAGAAAGAUUUUACAGUACGAAAGAGAAGUGCACCUGAGAGGGUCAGAGAGAUAGUACGGUACUGUACACAAGAGAGUGAACCAGUUACUCGUACACAAGGAUUGGGUCAGAAAGAUAUUACAGUGAAAAAGAGAA
This is a long non-coding RNA of Amphimedon queenslandica, 211 nucleotides long. RefSeq lists it as uncharacterized. NCBI's taxonomy places the organism in Eukaryota, Metazoa, Porifera, Demospongiae, Haplosclerida, Niphatidae. The record is from RefSeq and is a predicted model, not a curated record. The transcript has 4 exons.